GCCUAACACAUGCAAGUCGAACGAACUCUUCGGAGUUAGUGGCGGACGGGUGAGUAACACGUGGGAACGUGCCUUUAGGUUCGGAAUAACUCAGGGAAACUUGUGCUAAUACCGAAUGUGCCCUUCGGGGGAAAGAUUUAUCGCCUUUAGAGCGGCCCGCGUCUGAUUAGCUAGUUGGUGAGGUAAAGGCUCACCAAGGCGACGAUCAGUAGCUGGUCUGAGAGGAUGAUCAGCCACAUUGGGACUGAGACACGGCCCAAACUCCUACGGGAGGCAGCAGUGGGGAAUCUUGCGCAAUGGGCGAAAGCCUGACGCAGCCAUGCCGCGUGAAUGAUGAAGGUCUUAGGAUUGUAAAAUUCUUUCAGUAGGGACGAUAAUGACGGUACCUACAGAAGAAGCCC
This 401-nucleotide ribosomal RNA is filed under the name alpha proteobacterium BAL75. RNAcentral describes it as "bacterial SSU rRNA". It matches the Rfam family "Bacterial small subunit ribosomal RNA", at positions 46 to 493 of the family's 1533-position model. The record is from RNAcentral. Lineage: Bacteria; Pseudomonadati; Pseudomonadota; Alphaproteobacteria.